CCAACCGUCUUCGGACAAACUCGUCGCGCUUCACGGCGUGGCGAACGUUUUGAACUCGACCUCAAAUCAGGCGGGACUACCCGCUGAACUUAAGCAUAUCAAUAAGCGGAGGAAAAGAAACUAACAAGGAUUCCCCUAGUAACUGCGAGUGAAGCGGGAAAAGCUCAAAUUUAAAAUCUGGCGGUCUCGCGGCCGUCCGAGUUGUAAUUUAGAGAAGCGUUUUCCGCGCCGGACCGUGUACAAGUCUCCUGGAACGGAGCGUCACAGAGGGUGAGAAUCCCGUCUUUGACACGGACGCCCGGUGCUAUGUGAUACGCUCUCGAAGAGUCGAGUUGUUUGGGAAUGCAGCUCAAAAUGGGUGGUGAACUCCAUCUAAAGCUAAAUAUUGGCGAGAGACCGAUAGCGAACAAGUACCGUGAGGGAAAGAUGAAAAGCACUUUGGAAAGAGAGUGAAACAGUACGUGAAAUUGCUGAAAGGGAAACGCUUGAAGUCAGUCGCGUCCGCCGGGACUCAGCCCUAGUGGUGUACUUUCCGGCGGACGGGCCAGCAUCACUUUCGGUCGUCGGAUAAGGGCGGGGGAAAUGUGGCACCCCUUCGGGGGUGUGUUAUAGUCCCUCGUCGUAUACGGUGGCCGGGAGUGAGGACCGCCUUUGUUGCAGGAUGCUGGCGUAAUGGCUUUAAACGACCCGUCUUGAAACACGGACCAAGGAGUCUAACAUGCCCGCGAGUGUUCGGGUGGCAAACCCGAGCGCGAAAUGAAAGUGAAAGGUUGGGAAGGCUGUCGUGGCCUGCACCGACGCCCGGACCUGAGAUUCAUCGACGGUUCUGCGGUAGAGCGUGUAUGUUGGGACCCGAAAGAUGGUGAACUAUGCCUG
Molecule: ribosomal RNA, 876 nt
Filed under: Baltazaria neogalactina
Lineage: Eukaryota; Fungi; Basidiomycota; Agaricomycetes; Agaricales
Description: eukaryotic LSU rRNA
Rfam family: Eukaryotic large subunit ribosomal RNA
Source: RNAcentral